Molecule: ribosomal RNA, 248 nt
Filed under: uncultured Erysipelotrichaceae bacterium
Lineage: Bacteria; Bacillati; Bacillota; Erysipelotrichia; Erysipelotrichales; Erysipelotrichaceae
Description: partial 16S ribosomal RNA
Rfam family: Bacterial small subunit ribosomal RNA
Source: RNAcentral
UACGUAGGUGGCAAGCGUUAUCCGGAAUGAUUGGGCGUAAAGGGUGCGUAGGCGGCACGAUCAGUCUGAAGUAAAAGGCGAUGGCUCAACCAUCGUAAGCUUUGGAAACUGUCGAGCUAGCGUGCAGGAGAGGUCAGUGGAAUUCCAUGUGUAGCGGUAAAAUGCGUAGAUAUAUGGAGGAACACCAGUGGCGAAGGCGGCUGACUGGCCUGUAACGGACGCUGAGGCACGAAAGCGUGGGGAGCAAA